CCUACGGGAGGCAGCAGUGAGGAAUAUUGGUCAAUGGACGAGAGUCUGAACCAGCCAAGUAGCGUGAAGGAUGACUGCCCUAUGGGUUGUAAACUUCUUUUAUAUGGGAAUAAAAUGUUCCACGUGUGGGAUUUUGUAUGUACCAUAUGAAUAAGGAUCGGCUAACUCCGUGCCAGCAGCCGCGGUAAUACGGAGGAUCCGAGCGUUAUCCGGAUUUAUUGGGUUUAAAGGGAGCGUAGGUGGAUUGUUAAGUCAGUUGUGAAAGUUUGCGGCUCAACCGUAACAUUGAAGUUGAAACUGGCAGUCUUGAGUACAGUAGAGGUGGGCGGAAUUCGUGGUGUAGCGGUGAAAUGCUUAGAUAUCACGAAGAACUCCGAUUGCGAAGGCAGUUCACUGGACUGUAACUGACACUGAGGCUCGAAAGUGUGGGUAUCAAACAGGAUUAGAUACCCGAGUAGUC
RNAcentral lists this ribosomal RNA (460 nucleotides) under uncultured bacterium. Its description in RNAcentral is "partial 16S ribosomal RNA". It matches the Rfam family "Bacterial small subunit ribosomal RNA", at positions 338 to 795 of the family's 1533-position model. The record is from RNAcentral.